Homo sapiens (human) is the source of this 1378-nucleotide long non-coding RNA. RefSeq lists it as uncharacterized. The record is from RefSeq and is a predicted model, not a curated record. The transcript has 2 exons. NCBI's taxonomy places the organism in Eukaryota, Metazoa, Chordata, Mammalia, Primates, Hominidae.
AAAUAUACCCCUUUUCAUAAGAAAAUCUACAAAGAGUAUUUAUAAGAAAUUGGUGCAUGGCUGUGCUUCAACUCCUCAGUGCAUGAUAUGAAAGAAAAUCAGAUGAGGUUGCAAGAAAUAAAUUUUGUGUUAGACAUCAGAGACCAUUUCUUGACAGGAAAAGUUGUUUGUGAUGUGUGCAGCAUGAUUGACAACUCAUAUUAAACUGUAUAUGGAAGCACAAACAUUGAAGAAUAGCCAAACAUUCUUGAAGAAAAGAAACAAAUGGAGAGAACUUGUCCUUCAAAUAUCAUUUACUAUAAUAAAGCUGUAGUAAUUAAGAAGGCAUGGUUUUGGCACAGGGAUAAGCACUCAAACCAAUGAGAGAAAAUGGAAUUCUAAAAUAUGAAAAUUAUUCAAACGGGGCUGGCAUUCCUGAUUGAUGGAAAGCACAGACUAGUCAAUUAAUGCAAUAGUUGGUCAUUCAUAUGAGGAAAAAAUGAAAUUAGGUUAGCUUAUACCAUACAAAAUUCAAUCACAAAUGGAUUAAAAACCUAUAAACAAACAAAAAACUCUAUUAAAUAUUUAGAAGACACUAUGUGAGAAUAUUUUUAAAACUUGAGAUAAAUGAUUCCUUAAGGUACAAAACAGCAAAAAAUGACAACCUUUAUUAUAUAAAAAUUAAUUUGUGUUUUCCAGAAUCACAAAAAAGAAAAAAAGCAAGGUAAAAAUAGAGAAAAGAUAUUAGCAACAAAAAUUAGAUAAAAUACUAGUAUUUGGAGUAUCAAAUGGAUUCUGAGAAUCAAAGAGAAAAAAAUCAGUUUAAUAUAAUGAUAGAUAAGAGGAAUAAAUAGGAAUUUCAUAUGAGAGGAAGCACAAAUCUCAUAUAAACAUGUGAACAAGCCUUUAACAUCAUUAGUAGCCAGGGAAAAACAAGACCACACCCCAAAAAUUAAGAACAUAGACCAUUUCAUUCUCAUAAGAUGGUCAAUAGUCAAAAUUGUGCCAAAUAUAGAGCAAGGGAAGCUCCAGUCUCCUACUGGUGGGAGAGUAAAUUGAUACAAUCAUUUUGGAAAACAGUUUGACAUUACCUGCUACAGCUGAAAACAAACAUGUUCUAUAAACCAGGAAUUCUACCGUUAGAUAUUUAAUCCAUAAAAACUCAAAAGACAAAUGCACAAAGUUUACAGUUUUGUUUGUUUAAACAAAAAGAAAAAAAGGAAAACUGAAGCAAGUCAAAUGUUCUUCAGAAGUAGAAAGAACAUUUAAAUUGAAACAAAAUUUCACAAUGAACUGUGAUAGGGCAUUGAGUGAAUUACUACAGAGGAGGGGUGGGUAAACCAAAACCUACAGAGCAGUCAAAUGUUUUUAUAAAUAAAGUUUUAUUGGAGCACAAUCA